Long non-coding RNA from Amphimedon queenslandica, 168 nucleotides. RefSeq lists it as uncharacterized. NCBI's taxonomy places the organism in Eukaryota, Metazoa, Porifera, Demospongiae, Haplosclerida, Niphatidae. The record is from RefSeq and is a predicted model, not a curated record. The transcript has 2 exons.
GGAUACGAAACUCCUCUAUGCACACAUAUAAAAUCUCAUAAGGAAACGUCAUAAACGUCACAUCCGGCUGUCCUCACCCUUGUUUCGCUGCAUUCAUGGCUGCCAGGGUGACAAGAGAUGGGAAAGUCAUGCAUUGGUACUGAGACUGCAUAUACUAAAAAAAAAGGA